Nicotiana tabacum (common tobacco) is the source of this 2073-nucleotide non-coding RNA. NCBI's taxonomy places the organism in Eukaryota, Viridiplantae, Streptophyta, Magnoliopsida, Solanales, Solanaceae. The record is from RefSeq and is a predicted model, not a curated record.
UAUUUUUUUUGUAUCUUGCAGUUAGGUUAUGCUAUCUAGUGGCAUUGAAGAGUAUAACAGUGAUAGCAUAUAUGACACAUUUAAAGGUUGCUUUUAUUAGCAGAGUAGCCUGAGGAAUUGGACUUGGAACAAGUUUGUUGCUGCUGUUGUUUUACACUCUCCGCCGUGGUCUUCUGUUCCAUUUUUUUCCUGAAAUCAUGGGAAGAAGUAUUAGAUGUUGCUGCACACUCUACGCGAUAUACUUUUAAGGGUCAUGAGACAACUUAACUACCCAAAAUCAUAGUCCAUUUUGAACAGCCAUUGCAUUGCUUGCUAGACGAGCUUGUGAGCUCUAAGGUUUUUUUAUAUUUGGUGGAAGGCAGGCUGAAUCUCUGCCCCAACCAAAUGAAAGUUGGAUAACAUAGGCUAAAGUGUCCAUGUACUGAUAUUUGAAAAAAAGGAGCCAGUCGUAACUACCUGAUUACCUGGUAGUCAAGGAGACAAAGUAUCACUGUUCUUCUCUUAGGGCUCACAACAUCUAUGUCAAUAGUCGCAAGAUAAAGAUCCAUCACUCAGUUCGUUUUGAUCGUGUUUGCCUCUUCCACCGAUCUUCAACAAUAAAAAAAUCCCAAUGACAGAACUUCUUUUGGUUGAAAUCUUUCGGCAUGUGCUUAAAUUUGUUCAGGUAUUUUCUUUAGCUCAUUUUGUCACUGUUUUGCGAGAAUUUAGGUUUAAAAAGAAUAGAUGUAGCAAUUAUUGAAUUUACUUUUCCCAUGUCUGUUUAAUAUGAUAGUCGUUAUCUUUCUUUUACGUUGCUAUGAAUGCGUACAUCUGCUAGAAGAAACAAAAGAUUUCUUGAAUGCCUUUACAUAACAAUUAGUAUUUUUAUGGUAUAUCUUUAAUACCCAUUCAAAGAUUGAUGUCCUUAAAGUUUUCAAACUAUGUAUUCCAACUUGGCAUUUUUAUAAAGAAGCAUUUUAUGCACUUCCAUCACUUGCUGCAUUUGAGCUGCCUUUCCAUUUAUUAUUUUUAGUCGAAGUUGUUCAAACUGCUCAUUUCAAGUUUGUUGCUAUAUGAACUGAUAAUUGGCUGGAUGGAAAGUAAUAAAUCAUCUGUUUUGAUUCUUUUGCUGAUCCCCGUUUCCUCAUCAUUCACUUCCUGUUGUUGUUGCUCAAUAUGUUGUCUACAGGUCUCUUUUGAUAUAAUUGGUCCGUUUUGAGUCUUAUCACACCAUGUACAAUAUUUAUACAGAUCUACUAGUUUUUAAUGUUGGCUUAGAUGAUUAGUUCACCUAGAAAAUGAUGGUGUGACCAACAUCUUUCAGUUGCUACGGACAAACUUAUUCCCUGGCAUACUAACUCUCCCCUUUGCUACAAUAACAUUGUUGUUCUAUGAAUUAGGAUUAGAGGGAAUGCUAUUUCAAUUCGUUGAAUUUUAAUUGCCUUUCUGUAAAAAAGAAUUCGUAGUCUUCCAAUUUUUGAUCCAAAAGGUGUAAGCUUUUUUAAUGUCUAACUGCUGCUCUUGUAUAUUUUUUCCGGGUCUGUAUUGUGAAACCAAUGUGCAAUGCUUGGAUUUAUAUCUACAAACAAAAUGGUGGCGGUCUUGAGAAAGGCUUUUGAAACGCAAAUUUCAAUUGGUUUUCCGGUAGAAACUAUAGCAAUGAUGAAUACUGUUACCAUAUUAUAGGAGGUGCAAAUCUUAAUCUGAAACAAGCUGACGAAGAACCUGAACUCUUGUCACAAAAUCCCUGGUAUGGAAUGGAACCAACUGUAUUACAUGUGUGCUCUUGUACUAAUAAGACUCAAAGUGAAACAGCUGACUCUAAGCUAGAGGUCAGCAAUGAAGUGGUGGGACUUUCCACUUUGAUUGCAUAGCCACCCAAUUAAAUUUUAUAUUCUUUGUUAAGGAACUCUGUGCUACCGUUAAUGUCCCUGUUCUUGCUGAUGAAGCAACAAAGUUUUGUUGUAUAUUUGAUUUGACUCCUCCUGUAGAAACUUUUCACGGCACUUUGAAUGCAGCUUUCCUUUUGUGGGAGGUUGAAGGUAGCUACAUUAAUUGCAGUUGUAUGAGAGCUUCAGUCAACUUUGUCAACUA